GAUGAACGCUGGCGGCGUGCCUAAUACAUGCAAGUCGAGCGAACAGACGAGGAGCUUGCUCCUCUGACGUUAGCGGCGGAUGGGUGAGUAACACGUGGAUAACCUACCUAUAAGACUGGGAUAACUUCGGGAAACCAGAGCUAAUACCGGAUAAUAUAUUGAACCGCAUGGUUCAAUAGUGAAAGACGGUUUUGCUGUCACUUAUAGAUGGAUCCGCGCCGCAUUAGCUAGUUGGUAAGGUAACGGCUUACCAAGGCGACGAUGCGUAGCCGACCUGAGAGGGUGAUCGGCCACACUGGAACUGAGACACGGUCCAGACUCCUACGGGAGGCAGCAGUAGGGAAUCUUCCGCAAUGGGCGAAAGCCUGACGGAGCAACGCCGCGUGAGUGAUGAAGGUCUUCGGAUCGUAAAACUCUGUUAUUAGGGAAGAACAAAUGUGUAAGUAACUAUGCACGUCUUGACGGUACCUAAUCAGAAAGCCACGGCUAACUACGUG
This 497-nucleotide ribosomal RNA is filed under the name uncultured bacterium. RNAcentral's name for it is "partial 16S ribosomal RNA". It matches the Rfam family "Bacterial small subunit ribosomal RNA", at positions 28 to 507 of the family's 1533-position model. The record is from RNAcentral.